CGCCUGGCGUGGCCUGACCAGCGGCGAGUUGCUGAGAAAAAGAGAACAAAUGAGGGAAUGCAUUUAUAGAGCUCCUUAUCUGUACUCUAGAUCCAUUGAGAAAACAAAUCUCCCUCGUACUUUUUAGUAUACAAAACUUACCUCCAAGUAUUCUAUGGAUAAGGCAGUUUCCAGCGCUUUACCCGUUAGAUCUCUGCUGUUCGCCUCAUUGGCCAAAUCCAGUGGAGUUAAGCGAUUGAAGGUGCUAUUUCUUGUGCC
Long non-coding RNA from Drosophila mojavensis, 258 nucleotides. RefSeq lists it as uncharacterized. The record is from RefSeq and is a predicted model, not a curated record. Lineage: Eukaryota; Metazoa; Arthropoda; Insecta; Diptera; Drosophilidae. The transcript is spliced from 2 exons.